GACGAAGGGGGCUAGCGUUGUUCGGAAUUACUGGGCGUAAAGCGCGUGUAGGCGGUUGCCCAAGUCGGGUGUGAAAGCCUUGAGCUCAACUCGAGAAAUGCACUCGGUACUGGGUGACUAGAGGACCGGAGAGGAUAGUGGAAUUCCCAGUGUAGUGGUGAAAUACGUAGAGAUUGGGAAGAACACCAGUGGCGAAGGCGGCUAUCUGGACGGUUUCUGACACUAAGACUCGAAAGCGUGGGGAGCAAACAGG
This 253-nucleotide ribosomal RNA is filed under the name uncultured bacterium. Its description in RNAcentral is "partial 16S ribosomal RNA". It matches the Rfam family "Bacterial small subunit ribosomal RNA", at positions 524 to 776 of the family's 1533-position model. The record is from RNAcentral.